Molecule: ribosomal RNA, 478 nt
Filed under: uncultured Planctomycetales bacterium
Lineage: Bacteria; Pseudomonadati; Planctomycetota; Planctomycetia; Planctomycetales
Description: bacterial SSU rRNA
Rfam family: Bacterial small subunit ribosomal RNA
Source: RNAcentral
UUUCGCAAUGCCCGAAAGGGUGACGAAGCGACGCCGCGUGUGGGAAGAAGGCCUUCGGGUUGUAAACCACUGUCGGGAGUUAAGAAAUGCAAGGAUAUGAAUAGUGUCUUUGCUUGACUAAGGCUCCGGAGGAAGCCACGGCUAACUCUGUGCCAGCAGCCGCGGUAAUACAGAGGCGGCAAGCGUUGUUCGGAAUUAUUGGGCGUAAAGAGCACGUAGGCGGCUAUGUAAGUCGGUUGUGAAAGCCUUCCGCUCAACGGGAGAACAGCAUCCGAUACUGCAUGGCUUGAGUGCGGGAGGGGAGAGUGGAACUUCUGGUGGAGCGGUGAAAUGCGUAGAUAUCAGAAGGAACGCCGGCGGCGAAAGCGGCUCUCUGGCCCAUAACUGACGCUGAGUGUGCGAAAGCUAGGGGAGCAAACGGGAUUAGAUACCCCGGUAGUCCUAGCCGUAAACGAUGGGCACUAAGUAGAGGGGUUUA